RNAcentral lists this ribosomal RNA (1181 nucleotides) under Staphylococcus aureus. RNAcentral's name for it is "bacterial SSU rRNA". It matches the Rfam family "Bacterial small subunit ribosomal RNA", at positions 133 to 1300 of the family's 1533-position model. Lineage: Bacteria; Bacillati; Bacillota; Bacilli; Caryophanales; Staphylococcaceae. The record is from RNAcentral.
UAAGACUGGGAUAACUUCGGGAAACCGGAGCUAAUACCGGAUAAUAUUUUGAACCGCAUGGUUCAAAAGUGAAAGACGGUCUUGCUGUCACUUAUAGAUGGAUCCGCGCUGCAUUAGCUAGUUGGUAAGGUAACGGCUUACCAAGGCAACGAUGCAUAGCCGACCUGAGAGGGUGAUCGGCCACACUGGAACUGAGACACGGUCCAGACUCCUACGGGAGGCAGCAGUAGGGAAUCUUCCGCAAUGGGCGAAAGCCUGACGGAGCAACGCCGCGUGAGUGAUGAAGGUCUUCGGAUCGUAAAACUCUGUUAUUAGGGAAGAACAUAUGUGUAAGUAACUGUGCACAUCUUGACGGUACCUAAUCAGAAAGCCACGGCUAACUACGUGCCAGCAGCCGCGGUAAUACGUAGGUGGCAAGCGUUAUCCGGAAUUAUUGGGCGUAAAGCGCGCGUAGGCGGUUUUUUAAGUCUGAUGUGAAAGCCCACGGCUCAACCGUGGAGGGUCAUUGGAAACUGGAAAACUUGAGUGCAGAAGAGGAAAGUGGAAUUCCAUGUGUAGCGGUGAAAUGCGCAGAGAUAUGGAGGAACACCAGUGGCGAAGGCGACUUUCUGGUCUGUAACUGACGCUGAUGUGCGAAAGCGUGGGGAUCAAACAGGAUUAGAUACCCUGGUAGUCCACGCCGUAAACGAUGAGUGCUAAGUGUUAGGGGGUUUCCGCCCCUUAGUGCUGCAGCUAACGCAUUAAGCACUCCGCCUGGGGAGUACGACCGCAAGGUUGAAACUCAAAGGAAUUGACGGGGACCCGCACAAGCGGUGGAGCAUGUGGUUUAAUUCGAAGCAACGCGAAGAACCUUACCAAAUCUUGACAUCCUUUGACAACUCUAGAGAUAGAGCCUUUCCCUUCGGGGGACAAAGUGACAGGUGGUGCAUGGUUGUCGUCAGCUCGUGUCGUGAGAUGUUGGGUUAAGUCCCGCAACGAGCGCAACCCUUAAGCUUAGUUGCCAUCAUUAAGUUGGGCACUCUAAGUUGACUGCCGGUGACAAACCGGAGGAAGGUGGGGAUGACGUCAAAUCAUCAUGCCCCUUAUGAUUUGGGCUACACACGUGCUACAAUGGACAAUACAAAGGGCAGCGAAACCGCGAGGUCAAGCAAAUCCCAUAAAGUUGUUCUCAGUUCGGAUUG